CCGUAGGUGGGCCCAUUGGGCUGUUUCUCGUUCCAGCCAGUGCACCAUAUCAACGGUGAUGGUAUCAAAUCUUAACGAUGAUGCUGGGACUCGAACCUGUGGCACCGAAUCGCCCGCAAAUUGCAAGACUAACCACGAUGCGCUCUGAGUUUUAACUGAACCACCUGCCUCGCUCAGUGUUGGAGCAAAUCUGCAAAUUCGAGCAAAAUGAACUGUCCUGAAACCAUUUCACCACGUAUUACAAUCAUUCUAUCUUCAGUAUUAGUUGUAAUAUAUGUAAAACGAAAAGAGGAAGAAAAAAAAGCGUAACAAUUCGUGUGCAAUCUUAAAUUGUUGUUUGGCAGUAAUGCUACUUGAAUAAACGUGGUUAUUCAGA
Molecule: long non-coding RNA, 376 nt
Organism: Gigantopelta aegis
Lineage: Eukaryota; Metazoa; Mollusca; Gastropoda; Neomphalida; Peltospiridae
Exons: 2
Source: RefSeq, a predicted model, not a curated record